UGAACGCUGGCGGUAGGCCUAACACAUGCAAGUCGAACGGCAGCACAGUAAGAGCUUGCUCUUACGGGUGGCGAGUGGCGGACGGGUGAGGAAUACAUCGGAAUCUACUUUUUCGUGGGGGAUAACGUAGGGAAACUUACGCUAAUACCGCAUACGACCUACGGGUGAAAGCAGGGGAUCUUCGGACCUUGCGCGAUUGAAUGAGCCGAUGUCGGAUUAGCUAGUUGGCGGGGUAAAGGCCCACCAAGGCGACGAUCCGUAGCUGGUCUGAGAGGAUGAUCAGCCACACUGGAAGUGAGACACGGUCCAGACUCCUACGGGAGGCAGCAGUGGGGAAUAUUGGACAAUGGGCGCAGGCCUGAUCCAGCCAUACCGCGUGGGUGAAGAAGGCCUUCGGGUUGUAAAGCCCUUUUGUUGGGAAAGAAAAGCAGCAGGUUAAUACCCCGCUGUUCUGACGGUACCCAAAGAAUAAGCACCGGCUAACUUCGUG
This 490-nucleotide ribosomal RNA is filed under the name uncultured bacterium. RNAcentral's name for it is "partial 16S ribosomal RNA". It matches the Rfam family "Bacterial small subunit ribosomal RNA", at positions 30 to 507 of the family's 1533-position model. The record is from RNAcentral.